GCAGUCGAACGGUGAACACGGAGCUUGCUCUGUGGGAUCAGUGGCGAACGGGUGAGUAACACGUGAGCAACCUGCCCCUGACUCUGGGAUAAGCGCUGGAAACGGCGUCUAAUACUGGAUACGAGUAGCGACCGCAUGGUCAGUUACUGGAAAGAUUUAUUGGUUGGGGAUGGGCUCGCGGCCUAUCAGCUUGUUGGUGAGGUAAUGGCUCACCAAGGCGUCGACGGGUAGCCGGCCUGAGAGGGUGACCGGCCACACUGGGACUGAGACACGGCCCAGACUCCUACGGGAGGCAGCAGUGGGGAAUAUUGCACAAUGGGCGCAAGCCUGAUGCAGCAACGCCGCGUGAGGGAUGACGGCCUUCGGGUUGUAAACCUCUUUUAGCAGGGAAGAAGCGAAAGUGACGGUACCUGCAGAAAAAGCGCCGGCUAACUACGUGCCAGCAGCCGCGGUAAUACGUAGGGCGCAAGCGUUAUCCGGAAUUAUUGGGCGUAAAGAGCUCGUAGGCGGUUUGUCGCGUCUGCUGUGAAAUCCGGAGGCUCAACCUCCGGCCUGCAGUGGGUACGGGCAGACUAGAGUGCGGUAGGGGAGAUUGGAAUUCCUGGUGUAGCGGUGGAAUGCGCAGAUAUCAGGAGGAACACCGAUGGCGAAGGCAGAUCUCUGGGCCGUAACUGACGCUGAGGAGCGAAAGGGUGGGGAGCAAACAGGCUUAGAUACCCUGGUAGUCCACCCCGUAAACGUUGGGAACUAGUUGUGGGGUCCAUUCCACGGAUUCCGUGACGCAGCUAACGCAUUAAGUUCCCCGCCUGGGGAGUACGGCCGCAAGGCUAAAACUCAAAGGAAUUGACGGGGACCCGCACAAGCGGCGGAGCAUGCGGAUUAAUUCGAUGACACGCGAAGAACCUUACCAAGGCUUGACAUAUA
Molecule: ribosomal RNA, 924 nt
Filed under: Microbacterium sp.
Lineage: Bacteria; Bacillati; Actinomycetota; Actinomycetes; Micrococcales; Microbacteriaceae
Description: bacterial SSU rRNA
Rfam family: Bacterial small subunit ribosomal RNA
Source: RNAcentral